Molecule: long non-coding RNA, 206 nt
Filed under: Ananas comosus (pineapple)
Lineage: Eukaryota; Viridiplantae; Streptophyta; Magnoliopsida; Poales; Bromeliaceae
Description: long non-coding RNA (ACOM_LNC034231)
Source: RNAcentral
UUUUAUCAUCUUUUGUAUUUGAUGAUUUAAGAUGUUGAUGUAUAAAGCAAAGAGAGAAAAGAAUGUAAUAUUUAUAUUGAGCAAAUGUGAUGUACGAAAGAAAUGAUGAAAUGUUGUAAUGGAAUGUAAGGAAUAAAAAAUGUACAAGUUGGAUGCGAUGUAUAUGAUCUAAAUUGAAUCAUAGUACUUGCGUAGAUGUUAGUUUU